CCGACAGCAUUUGGUUUUGAACUUCCAAAAGAUGUGAAACGGCUUUUUUUCAAAUCUAGGAUUCUCUUCCGCAUACGCAAUCUCAACAAGUGGUUGAAAAUCAAGAAAGGGAAACAGAGGAUAAUGGGUUACAAAGGUUGAUUAAAAAUUUUCUUUGAAUAGCUCAAAUAAAGCAGAUGUUCAGUAAAGUAUUAACAAGUGAAAACACGGAAACUGUCCGUCGAAUAACUGCAGUAAAGUCCACAAGAAUUGGCAAUAAUUUUAUCUGGUGGAGGUUUAUAUACUGCUGCAUUGAAGCUGCUUACUGGCUUCGGAUUAUCACCUCUUCUCAUAUGGGUACGCCACAUUACCAAGGAAGCGCCAAUGAAGCAUGAGCGUGGUCACAGGAAAGUGAAAUGGCUGAUUUGCUUCAUCGCAAUAAAGCAACCAAUCUGGCCCGAUCACUGUUACAAAAGCUCAUUUAUGAUCCUGAGUUAGAAAAUUCUACUAGCGUAUGUAAACAUAUAGCAAACAAGCUGCUAAGUCUCAACGCUUUUAUACCACAAUGGCUAUAUAAUGAC
Molecule: long non-coding RNA, 560 nt
Organism: Anastrepha obliqua
Lineage: Eukaryota; Metazoa; Arthropoda; Insecta; Diptera; Tephritidae
Exons: 4
Source: RefSeq, a predicted model, not a curated record